GACGAACGCUGGCGGCGUGCCUAAUACAUGCAAGUUGAGCGCUGAAGGUUGGUACUUGUACCAACUGGAUGAGCAGCGAACGGGCGAGUAACGCGUGGGGAAUCUGCCUUUGAGCGGGGGACAACAUUUGGAAACGAAUGCUAAUACCGCAUAAAAACUUUAAACACAAGUUUUAAGUUUGAAAGAUGCAAUUGCAUCGCUCAAAGAUGAUCCCGCGUUGUAUUAGCUAGUUGGUGAGGUAAAGGCUCACCAAGGCGAUGAUACAUAGCCGACCUGAGAGGGUGAUCGGCCACAUUGGGACUGAGACACGGCCCAAACUCCUACGGGAGGCAGCAGUAGGGAAUCUUCGGCAAUGGACGAAAGUCUGACCGAGCAACGCCGCGUGAGUGAAGAAGGUUUUCGGAUCGUAAAACUCUGUUGGUAGAGAAGAACGUUGGUGAGAGUGGAAAGCUCAUCAAGUGACGGUAACUACCCAGAAAGGGACGGCUAACUACGUG
RNAcentral lists this ribosomal RNA (497 nucleotides) under uncultured bacterium. RNAcentral describes it as "partial 16S ribosomal RNA". It matches the Rfam family "Bacterial small subunit ribosomal RNA", at positions 28 to 507 of the family's 1533-position model. The record is from RNAcentral.